GGGACAUUAACUCAGUUGGGAGAGUGUUAGCUCGACAAGCUAAAAGUCACAGGUUCAAGUCCUGUAUGUCCCACCA
This 76-nucleotide transfer RNA is filed under the name Isachenkonia alkalipeptolytica. RNAcentral describes it as "tRNA-Val". It matches the Rfam family "tRNA". Rfam says of the family: Transfer RNA (tRNA) molecules are approximately 80 nucleotides in length. Lineage: Bacteria; Bacillati; Bacillota; Clostridia; Eubacteriales; Clostridiaceae. The record is from RNAcentral.